This is a long non-coding RNA of Cyprinus carpio carpio, 6391 nucleotides long. The record is from Ensembl. Lineage: Eukaryota; Metazoa; Chordata; Actinopteri; Cypriniformes; Cyprinidae.
CUCACGCUCAUGUGAGGCACCAAUAACAUGGGCUAAAUUACCAGCACUUAUUUGCUGCAUCCCCUGCAAGAGCCUGAACUCCCCUGUUUACGGCCAUGCCCUAACAUCCCAUUCUCCCCCAGCCAUGAUCUCAAAUCCGGCACUUUGAAAACCCUCAUCCUGCUUUUCUCACAAGAUUGUGAGGAUUCACCUGUGGAUUAAAUGGGGACAACAAAAAAGAACAUCUUUUCCUGAGUGGGAUUUAACAUCAACUGGGUGAAACGGUCCAAAUAAGAUUGGGAUACACAAGCGAAAUCAAAGGACACUCGGCUGAAGUACCACCAUGGCUCAGGCAACUAAAGGUCCCGUGGUGAAGUCCAUCCCUCCCACUGGUGUAGCUGCCCCGGCUAGAACAGCACACACAGACUCACUUACUGCCGGGAGCCAUGGAAUUUUACGAAUCAUGAAUCGCCCGGCACAGUGGGUGGUCAUCAUCACACUUCUGAUUUCUUGGUCAAUAGCAGGUGUUGUCAUGUUUGAUUUUGUCAGUGACGAUCAGAUUGCAAGCAUCCAGGAUUUUGGCUCUGAUCCAGUGCUAGCAGUGAGCAAGGCCAUCGAAGGCAUUGAAAACUGGAUAAACCAUAUGAACGAUAUGCUUUAUGAUGCUCACGAGUACAUCACUGAAAUAAUAUUUAAUCCGAGGGAAGCUAUUAGUUUAGCAGCUGACUCAUCUGUGUCUUAUCUGUCAGGAAUAUUUAGUGCUGAUGGAGAUUCAGGAGUCACUGAAACAGUGAAAUAUGGUGGCACUGUAUUGGAUGAGGCUACAGAAUGGAUCAGAACCCCAGUGAGCUACUUAUUCCACUUGUUUGAAGACAUAUUGGAUAUAGUGAUUACUCCAGUGGAUAUGGUCACUGAAGUUGCUGUGCAAAUUUUAAGUGGGAUCAAGACCAUUAUACAAUAUAUUUCAACCAUGUUUGGGGGCAUUGAAGGGGAUACAGGCAUCACUGAAACAGUGAAACUUGGUGGUACUUUAUUGGAUGAGGUUACUGAAUGGAUCAGAUUCCCAGUGGGCUACUUAUUCCACUUAUUUGAAGGCAUCUUGGAUGUAGCAAUCAUUUAUCCAGGGGACAUUGCCACUGAAGCAGUUCUGCAAAUUUUAAGUGGGAUCAAGACCAUUUCUUCAACCAUAUUUGGAUACCUUGAAGUUUGGUUUCCCAAAAUGAGCACUGGUCCCGCAGAACUGGCUGAAAUUGUUGUAGAGAAGGCCACAGACAUAAAGACCACUGUCUCUAAUUACCUAACCAGUCUGUUUGCAGUGGAUGAAGGUGGUAUUCCUGACAUUAGCUUUGAUCCCAUGAAAGUUGUCACAGACACUGUUGAGGAGUUUGCUGACAGGAGGGAUAUGUUCUUGGCCUAUCUCUCCAACAUGGAAGACAAAGAUGACACACCGCAAGUGAUAAGACGGAAAGGAGAAUUUCUGCCCCCUAUGGAAAAAGUUCUUGAACAAGUGAAAGAAGCCAAAGAGAAAAAAGCUAGAGAGGAGAUAUACAAAAUCAUUCAAGAUAUGAGGGAAAAGAAGGCUGAAAGUAAAGAGGAAGAGAUAACACUGCAACGAAUAAACAUAACAGUAGAAAAAGUCAAGAAGAAAAAGGAGAUAGAAAAGGCUAAAAGAAAAGAAAAAUCCAAAGAGGACAAGACUCGAGAACCAACAGAAAAGGACACCAAGAAAAAAACUGAGAAAAAGGUCAAGGUGACUAAAGUGGGCGAGGAACCCCCUCUAAAAAAGAAGAAAUCUGAAGCUAAAAUGGCCAAAAAAGAGACCAAACUAGCAACAUCUAAGAAAGAGCCUCGAGUUACAAAAGAAAAGGCUAAACCAGCUCGUUCAAAGAAAGAAGCUGAAGUUGCUGUUAAAAAACUAAAACACGCUCCUGCAAAGAAAGAGCCUGAGGUUUCCAAAGAGAAGGCCAAGCUGAAGCCCUCAAAGAAAGAAGCUAAAGCUCCCAAGGACAAAAUUAAACCGGCCCUUUUGAAGAAAGAGCCUGAUGUUUCUAAGGAGAAAGAAAAACCACCAACUGCAAAGAAAGAAGAAAAGCCAACAACCGCUAAAAAAGAGCCUGCAGUUGCAGAAGAGAAAGUCAAACCAGUGCCCUCAAAGAAAGAUACUAAAGCUAUUAAGGAGAAAGUGAAACCAGCCCCAGUUAAGAAAGAGCCUGAGGUUUCCAAAGAAAAAGCCAAGCCAAAACGUUUAAAGAAAGAGGCUAAAUCUGUUGAAGAGAAGGCAAAACCAGCACCAGCUAAAAAAGAGAAGGAGAAACCUCCAAAGAAAGCUGUAAAAGAAAAGCCCAAACCUGCUUCUGUAAAGAAAGAACCUAAAUUUCCAAGAGAGAAAGCAAAACCUAAACCUUCCAAAAAAGAGGCAGAAGUUGCCAAAGACAAGCAUAAACCUGUCACUGUGAAGAAAGAACCUGCUGUUGCAGUUGAAAAGGCAAAACCGAAACCUGCACCAAAGAAAGUUACCAAAGAGAAAGCUAAACCAGAACCUGCAAAGAAAGAACCUGAGAUAACCAAAGAAAAACCGAGAGCACCAAAGAGAAAGGCUCAAGUUAUUAAGGAGGAAGCUAAACCAGCUCCUGCAAAAAAAGUCUUCAAAGAUGUUAAACCAGCCCUUAAGAGAAGAGAGGCUAAAGUAAUGAAGAAGAAAGUUAAACCGACUCCUGUAAAGAAAGAGCCUGAAGUUGCUAAAGAAAAGGCACCUGAAUCAGCACCAAGAAUAGAAAAGCCAAAGCCAGCACCAAAGAUAGUGGCUAAAGUCAUCAAGGAGAAACCUAAACCAGUUCCUGAGAAGAAAGAAGCUGUAAUCAUCAAAAAGAAAGUUAAACUGGCUCCAGUAAAGAAAGCACCUGAGAUAAUCAAAGAAAAGCCAAAGCCAGCACCAAAGAAAGAGGCUGAAGUCAUCAAAGAGAAAGCUAAACCAACUCCUGAAAAGAAAGAAGCUGUAAUCAUCAAAAAGAAAGUUAAACUGGCUCCAGUAAAGAAAGCACCUGAGAUAGUCAAAGAAAAGCCAAAGCCAGCACCAAAGAAAGAGGCUGAAGUCAUCAAAGAGAAAGCUAAAGCAACUCCUGAAAAGAAAGAGACCGAAGUCAUCAAGGAGAAAGUUAAACCAGCCCCUGUAAAGAAAGUUAAAGUUCCAAAGGAAAAGACAAAACUUGUCCUUGAAGCAAAGGAACCCAAAAUAACUAAGGAAAAGCCAAAGCCAGCACCAAAGAAAGAAGCUUUAGUCAUCAAAGAGAAAGCUAAACCAGCCCCUGUGAAGAAAGAGUCUGAAAUUAUCAAGGAAGAAAGAAAGAAAGCUAAACCAGCUCCUAAGAAGAAAGUGGCUGAAGUCACCAAGGAGAAAGCUAAGCAAGCUCCGAUGAAGAAAGAGCCUGAAGUCACUAAAGAAAAGUUAUUAGAACCAACUCCAAAAAAAGAGCUCCUGAACUCUAUCAGCCAAAAACUGUCUCUUCUGGAUUUACUGAGGAAGGACAUUGGUGAAAUGAAGAGUGAUCUGGAGUCCACUCAAAAUCAAAUUACGCUUUUACGAAUGGACAACAGAACAAUCAAAGAGCCAAAGACUGUUGGUGUAAAGGUAAAACCAGCAGUCUCCAAGGAAAAGGUCAAAACAGCAAAAAAAGACCAUGAUGCUCUGAUGAACGUUACAGCACAUAUUAAAGCAGAAGCUGAAAUCAUCAAAAAGAUAAAAGAUAAAGUUAAACUGGCUCCUUUAAAGAAAGAACGUGAUGCACUGAAAAACAUCACUAAACCAGCACCUGCAAAGAAAGAUAAAGAGGCUCCAAAAGCUAAGAUCAGACCACAGCCCAAAAAGAAAGAAAUCACCCAUGAGAAGGUCAAACAAGUAAAGGAACCUUUACAGAAAGUCGAGCCAACUAAGAAGGAGGCUGUUGUGGGCAAGGAAGUAAAAGGAGAAGAACCUGAUGUCUCCAAAGAUAUUCCAGAGAUGGAGGAUGAGGAUGUUCCCUACUUCCAGUGUUUCUUUGUGGAUGAGGAUGAUACUCAGUAUCCAUUCUUCCCCUUUUCACCACCGCUGUGGUGAAACUAGCCAAACCUCGUAUUCUGAUGUUAAACAACAUGGCAAAGCCAGUGAAGACGGACCUCUGAACGCUCUGAUGCAGUGGAGAGCUUCACAGUAGGUCCUACAGCAUUACACCAGCAAUGACCAAGAAAUGUGAAAGAGAUUUAAGUUACUUCCUGGAUCUUAAAACUCGAAAACUUCCUUCUCAGAUUCUUUGUCAUUUUGAAGAACAGAGUUUGCAAAUAUUGCGCUAUUUAUUAUAUCAUCUUAAGGCUAUCCAUCUUUUUAUUAAUACCAUGGAUUUGCCUUUUGUUUCUGAAUGAUUACUAUCUAUUUAUGAUUAAUAUAUAUGUCCAAGAAGGACAGGAAGAAAUGAAAGAACUAACUUCCUUUCUGAACAUGCAGUGGGGUUCAGGAUUGUAAGAUUAUAUAGUCUUUUAUAUAAACAUGAGGCGUGACCUCGUUUUGAUGGGGUGCUAAUUCUAAGCAUUCCACUGUGUUUUCUGUCAGAAUGGGGUUUGGAAGUUGUUCACGGUUCGUACAACUGGAAGGAAGGAUAUAAUAAAACAAGAAAUAUGUAAACUAUUUCAUAUAUCCUUUCUUAGUGAUACCGUUUACUAAACUGUUUACAGAAGUAACAGCUGCACUGAGAAAUACGGGCUUUGGACCGUAAGCUCAGUUCCUCAGAAUGUAUACAUCAUUUUAUUUAUAUAUUAUUUUUAUUUUGUUUUAUUCCUCUCUCUUUUUUAGCUUUCCAUACAUUUUACUUAAUAUAACUUGCCAAAUGUUUUAUAAAUCUAUACUUCAGAGGAAACAAAUAUGUUUUGUUCAGUGCUCUUUAUAAAUGAUUUUGCAUAACAAAAUUAAGAUAAGCUGUUGUGCUAAAUCCAAGAAAAAGCAUCAAACAUCAAGGCAACUACGUUGUUCUAGUAUAUCACAUUGCAAACACUACUGUUUUUACUUUUAUCUGCAUAACAUUAAUAGUUUAUUUAAGAUAAUGUCUGUAAAAAUGUGGGUGUGUUUUUGCAAUAUUACAUGGAUAGACCUACCUAAUAGAGAAGAGACAAUUAAAUAGCAUUCUGAAUUGUGUAACAAAAAUUGUCUGUUCCACAUUAUACUCAUACAGAAGAUUUUUUUUUAUUAUUAUGGGAUAAUGUGUCAAAUUAAAUUUAUUGCAUGCAACCACCGUGUGUUUCAACACUGCCCCUGGUGGCUCCCUGGCUCAUUACUCCAUUGCUUGAUUUAAUGAUAUUGAGUGUUUAAUGGUAUGUACUAGUGAGACACACCAUUAAACUAGUGUGCCGGUGGGCUGCCCUGGAGACAUUUCUUUUACUGCCACUGUCUUUUCUGUAUGAGUUCAGCAUGUGGCUCCAUUGAACAUAAACUCAUGUCUGUACAAAGAGCUUUUUUACCUCUGAUGUUAAGUAACUUAGGGUGAUCGUACGUUCUGUUUUUCCCAGACAUGUCCUGGCCAGGAUUUCUAAAUUGCCUAAAAUGUCAUUUUUUUGACUUUCUGAAGGUAAUGACUGUAAAGUAGUUUCACCAGCAUGCAGGCAUUGUGCUUAAUCGACCAGUUGUGGCCUGCGAGAAGGUGGGAUCUACAGAGAAGAGUCAAAGCAGUGCAAAUACAUGUACACAUAAUGUCUGAGGACUCUAGAGAGGAAACGCCAAAACCUGGACAUUUUAGGCAAUGUAGAAAUCCCGAUCAGGAUAUGUCUGGCAAUAAGAGGAUGUAUAGUCAACUGUACAAAUACAUAUUGUAGCAAUGCUCACUUGUAACAGAUAUACAGGUCUUUUUUGGACUUUUUUGGACUUUUCAAGUAAAUUAUGAGCUUGUUGGUGUGUUCUCAAGCAAACUGUGAAGCAAUGAAUAACAGCAUUUUUCAAUAGUUCAUAUAGUUCUUUAAGAUAUGUGUACUGUUAUUUUAAACCUAAUUUACAGUUCAUAUUUGAAAAAUGUUCCUCAAAGAUAAUAGUUUGCAUGAUGUUUGCAUGAAUUUUGUUUAAAAAUGUAUCUAAACCAGACCAUAUUUAAUUUGUGUGUGUUUUUAAUUGGAAUUACAUAAUUUCAUUGAAAAUGUAUAAUGUAAUAUUAUAUUCAUUUGGGUUUGUUUGUUUUUUUGCAUGGUUUUGAAGUUAGAUGUUGAAAACAUUCUCUGUACAAUGUAUAGCCAUAAACUGAAAUCAUAUUUAUAAAGCUCUAAACAGAAUCAACAAUAUGGUCUCCAGUCAAAAAAAAAAAGGCCUGUAUGCAACUGUAAAUGCUAUUGUAACUGUAAUACAGACUUGAUACAGUCUGAUUUAAGUUUUAGAAUAAAUAAAUGUUUGCAAUAAUCACAA